Molecule: ribosomal RNA, 269 nt
Filed under: uncultured bacterium
Lineage: Bacteria
Description: partial 16S ribosomal RNA
Rfam family: Bacterial small subunit ribosomal RNA
Source: RNAcentral
CCUACGGGGGGCAGCAGUGAGGAAUAUUGGUCAAUGGGCGGGAGCCUGAACCAGCCAAGUCGCGUGAGGGAAGACGGUCCUAUGGAUUGUAAACCUCUUUAGGCGGGGAGCAAUGCCGGGCACGUGUGCCCGGAGGGAGAGUACCCGCAGAAUAAGCAUCGGCUAACUCCGUGCCAGCAGCCGCGGUAAUACGGAGGAUGCGAGCGUUGUCCGGAAUUACUGGGCGGAAAGGGAGCGUAGGCGGGACUGCCAGUUGGGUGUCAAAUCUA